RNAcentral lists this transfer RNA (88 nucleotides) under Aeromonas veronii. RNAcentral describes it as "tRNA-Ser". It matches the Rfam family "tRNA". Rfam says of the family: Transfer RNA (tRNA) molecules are approximately 80 nucleotides in length. The record is from RNAcentral. Lineage: Bacteria; Pseudomonadati; Pseudomonadota; Gammaproteobacteria; Aeromonadales; Aeromonadaceae. RNAcentral also lists the same sequence under 4 other names.
GGUGAGGUGUCCGAGCGGCUGAAGGAGCACGCCUGGAAAGUGUGUAUACGGCAACGUAUCGAGGGUUCGAAUCCCUCCCUCACCGCCA